This 74-nucleotide transfer RNA is filed under the name Bacteroidetes bacterium ADurb.BinA012. Its description in RNAcentral is "tRNA-Ala". It matches the Rfam family "tRNA". From Rfam's summary of the family: Transfer RNA (tRNA) molecules are approximately 80 nucleotides in length. Their secondary structure includes four short double-helical elements and three loops (D, anti-codon, and T loops). Lineage: Bacteria; Pseudomonadati; Bacteroidota. The record is from RNAcentral.
GGGGGUGUAGCUCAGCUGGGAGAGCAACUGCCUUGCAAGCAGUAGGUCGUCAGUUCGAUCCUGAUCACCUCCAC